RNAcentral lists this transfer RNA (75 nucleotides) under Chloroflexota bacterium. Its description in RNAcentral is "Chloroflexi bacterium tRNA-Thr". It matches the Rfam family "tRNA". Rfam says of the family: Transfer RNA (tRNA) molecules are approximately 80 nucleotides in length. Their secondary structure includes four short double-helical elements and three loops (D, anti-codon, and T loops). Lineage: Bacteria; Bacillati; Chloroflexota. The record is from RNAcentral.
GCGUGUGUAGCUCAGUGGCAGAGCAGCGGUUUCGUUAACAGCAGGUCGAGGGUUCGACUCCCUUCACCGGCUCCA